RNAcentral lists this ribosomal RNA (484 nucleotides) under uncultured bacterium. RNAcentral describes it as "partial 16S ribosomal RNA". It matches the Rfam family "Bacterial small subunit ribosomal RNA", at positions 29 to 507 of the family's 1533-position model. The record is from RNAcentral.
AUUGAACGCUGGCGGCAUGCUUUACACAUGCAAGUCGAACGGCAGCGCGGGCUUCGGCCUGGCGGCGAGUGGCGAACGGGUGAGUAAUACAUCGGAACGUGCCCAGUAGCGGGGGAUAGCUCGGCGAAAGCCGGAUUAAUACCGCAUACGACCUGAGGGUGAAAGCGGGGGAUCUUCGGACCUCGCGCUAUUGGAGCGGCCGAUGGCAGAUUAGCUAGUUGGUGGGGUAAAGGCCUACCAAGGCGACGAUCUGUAGCUGGUCUGAGAGGACGACCAGCCACACUGGGACUGAGACACGGCCCAGACUCCUACGGGAGGCAGCAGUGGGGAAUUUUGGACAAUGGGCGAAAGCCUGAUCCAGCAAUGCCGCGUGUGUGAUGAAGGCCUUCGGGUUGUAAAGCACUUUUGGCGGGAACGAAAAGGACUGUGCCAAUACCACGAUUCGAUGACGGUACCCGCAGAAUAAGCACCGGCUAACUACGUG